RNAcentral lists this ribosomal RNA (798 nucleotides) under Septoria abei. Its description in RNAcentral is "LSU rRNA". It matches the Rfam family "Eukaryotic large subunit ribosomal RNA", at positions 38 to 865 of the family's 3401-position model. Lineage: Eukaryota; Fungi; Ascomycota; Dothideomycetes; Mycosphaerellales; Mycosphaerellaceae. The record is from RNAcentral.
GCAUAUCAAUAAGCGGAGGAAAAGAAACCAACAGGGAUUGCCCUAGUAACGGCGAGUGAAGCGGCAACAGCUCAAAUUUGAAAUCUGGCGCAAGCCCGAGUUGUAAUUUGUAGAGGAUGCUUCUGGGUAGCGACCGAUCUAAGUUCCUUGGAACAGGACGUCAUAGAGGGUGAGAAUCCCGUAUGUGACCGGCCCGCACCCUUUACGUAGCUCCUUCGACGAGUCGAGUUGUUUGGGAAUGCAGCUCUAAAUGGGAGGUAAAUUUCUUCUAAAGCUAAAUACCGGCCAGAGACCGAUAGCGCACAAGUAGAGUGAUCGAAAGAUGAAAAGUACUUUGGAAAGAGAGUUAAAAAGCACGUGAAAUUGUUGAAAGGGAAGCGCCUGCAACCAGACUUCGCGGCAGUGUUCCGCCGGUCUUCUGACCGGUUCAUUCUCUGUCGCGAGGCCAUCAUCGUCUAGGCCCGCCGGAUAAGACCUUGGGAAUGUAGCUCACCUUCGGGGGAGUGUUAUAGCCCAUGGUGAUGCGGCGAGGCUUGGGCGAGGUCCGCGCUUCGGCAAGGAUGAUGGCGUAAUGGUUGUCGGCGGCCCGUCUUGAAACACGGACCAAGGAGUCUAACAUCUAUGCGAGUGUUCGGGUGUCAAACCCCUACGCGUAAUGAAAGUGAACGGAGGUGGGAACCGCAAGGUGCACCAUCGACCGAUCCUGAUGUCCUCGGAUGGAUUUGAGUAAGAGCAUAGCUGUUGGGACCCGAAAGAUGGUGAACUAUGCCUGAAUAGGGUGAAGCCAGAGGAAACUCU